This 2600-nucleotide ribosomal RNA is filed under the name Nissolia schottii. Its description in RNAcentral is "bacterial LSU rRNA". It matches the Rfam family "Bacterial large subunit ribosomal RNA". The record is from RNAcentral. Lineage: Eukaryota; Viridiplantae; Streptophyta; Magnoliopsida; Fabales; Fabaceae.
UCAAACAAGGAAAGGCUUAUGGUGGAUACCUAGGCACCCAAAGACAAGGAAGGGCAUAGUAAGCGACGAAAUGCUUCGAGGAGUUGAAAAUAAGCGUAGAGCUGGAGAUUCCCGAAUAGGUCAACCUUUUGAACUGCUGCUGAAUCCACGGGCAGGCAAGAGACAACCUGGCGAUCUGAAACAUCUUAGUAGCCAGAGGAAAAGAAAGCAAAAAAUGAUUCCCGUAGUAGCGGCGACCGAAAUGGGAGCAGCCUAAACCGUGAAAACGGGGUUGUGGGAGAGCUAUACAAGUGUCGUGCUGCUAGGCGAAGCAGUGGAGUGCUGCACCCUAGAUGGCAAAAGUCCAGUAGCCGAAACCAUUACUAGCUUACGCUCUGACCUGAGUAGCAUGGGGCACGUGGAAUCCCAUGUGAAUCAGCAAGGACCAAGGACCACCUUGCAAGGCUAAAUACUAUUGGGUGAUUGAUAGUGAAGUAGUACCGUGAGGGAAAGGUGAAAAGAACCCCAAUAGGGGAGUGAAAUAGAACAUGAAACCAUAAGCUCCCAAGCAGUGGGAGGAGCCCAGCCCAAGGCUCUAACUGCGUGCCUGUUGAAGAAUGAGCCGGCGACUCAUAGGCAGUGGCUUGGUUAAGGGAAACCACCGGAGCCGUAGUUUCACAGGGCAAUUAUCACUGCUUAUGGACCCAAACCUGGGUGAUCUAUCUAUGACCAGGAUGAAGCUUAGGUGAAACUAAGUGGAGGUCCGAACCGACUGAUGUUGAAGAAUCAGCGGAUGAGUUGUGGUUAGGGGCUGAAAUGCCACUAGAACCUAGAGCUAGCUGGUUCUCCCCGAAAUGCUUUGAGGCGUAACAGUUGAUUGGACAUCUAGGGGUAAAGCACCGUUUCGGUGCGGGCCGUGAGAACGAUACCAAAUUGAGGCAAACUCUGAAUACUAGAUAUGAUCUCAAAAUAAUAAGGGUCAAGGUCGGCCAGUGAGACGAUGGGGGAUAAGCUUCAUCGUUUGGUGCAGAAGCGAGAAUGUCAGCUUAAGUAACGCAAACGUUGGUGAGAAUCCAAUGCCUUGGAAACCUAAGGGUUCCUCCACAAGGUUCGUCCACGGAGGGUGAGUCAAGGCCUAAGAUCAGGCCGAAAGGCGUAGGCGAUGGACAACAGCCCUUGUUGGUCCCGACGGACGGAGGAGGUUAGGUUAGCCGAAAGAUGGUUAUCGGUUCAAGGACACAAGGUGCCCCUACUUUUUCAAGGUAACAAUGCCUCGAGCCAAUGUUCAAGUACCAGGCGCUAUGACGUUGAAGUAACGGAUGCCAUACUCCCAGGAAAUGCUCGAAUGACCUUCAACAGAAGGGUACUGUACCAGAAAUCGACACCUACAAAGAAUACCUAGAGGCGCUCGUAACUUCGGGAAAAAGGGUGCCUCCUUACAAAGGGGGUCGCAGUGACCAGGCUCCCGGGCGACUGUUUACCGAAGACACAGGUCUCCACAAAGUCGUAAGACUAUGUAUGGGGGCUGACACCUGCCCAGUGAUGGAAGGUCAAGGAAGUUGGUGACCUGAUGAUAGGGGAGCCGGUGGCCGUAACUAAAACGAUCCUAAGGUAGCGAAAUUCCUUGUUGGGUAAGUUUCGACCUGCACGAAAUGCGUAACGAUCUGGGCACUAUAUUAGAGAGAGGCUCGGUGAAAUAGACAUGUCUGUGAAGAUGCGGACUACCCCCACCUGGACCGAAAGACCGUAUGAAGCUUCAGCUUUAUUGUUCCCUUGGAUUGGGGUUUGGGCUUUUCCUGUGCAGCUCAGGUGGAGGGCGAAGAAGGCCCUCUUCCGGGGGGGGCCCGAGCCAUCAGUGAGAGAUAUCACUCUGGAAGAGCUAGAAUUCUAACCUUGUGCCAGGACCUACGGGCCAAGGGACAGUUUCUAUGGGGCAUAGGCCUCCCAAAAGGUAACGGAGGCGUGAAAAGGUUUCCUUAGGCCAGACGGAGAUUAGCUUGACUGCAAGUCGAGCAGGGACGAAAGUCAGCCUUAAUGAUCCGACAGUACUGAGUGGGCCGUCGCUCAACAGAUAAAAGUUGCUCUAGGGAUAACAGGCUGAUCUACCCCAACCUCACAUCAAAGGGAAGGUUUGGCACCUCGAUGUCGGCUCUUCACCACUUGGGGUUGUAGUAUGUUCCAAGGGUUGGGCUGUUCGCCCAUUAAAGUGAUACGUUAGUUGGGUUCAGUUCAAUCCAUAUCCGGUGUGGGCGUAAGAGCAUUGAGACGACCUUUCCCUAGUACGAAAGGACCGGGAAGGACCCACCUCUAGUGUGCCAGUUAUCGUGCCCACGGUAAACGCUAGGUAGCCAAGUGCGGAGCAGAUAACUGCUGAAAGCAUCUAAGUAGUAAGCCCACCCCAAGAUGAGUGCUCUGCUGUUCCGACUUCUCCAAAGCCUCCGGUAGCACAGCUGAGACAGUGAUGGGUUCUCUACCCCCACGGGGAUGGAGCGAAAUAAGUUUUGAGAAUUCAAGAGAAGGUCACGACGAGACGAGCCGUUUCUCAUUAACGAUAGGUGUCAAGUGGAAGUGUAGUAAUAUAUGCCGCUGAGGCAUCGUAACAGACCGGUAGACUUGAACCU